GGCAACUGUAGGCUAUAAAGUUGCCUUCUAGCUUGUAGUAAAUCUAAAGAGAGUGAAGAUAUAACUAUAAGCUUCUUUGGAUGAUGUACUAUAGACAUGCAAGGAGGUUGUAUUUGCAUGACUAUCUCUAUAGAUCUCAUUCCCCAAAAUCUUCUUAACCACACCCAAAUCUUUCAUUUCAAGCUUACCACUCAGUUGAGCUUUCAACCUUUUGAUUUUAAGCAUAUCAUUGGCUGCAAUCAACAUACAAAAGCAAAUACACAAAAGAACCAUAUGGGAGUUUUCUAGACUAAACAAACUCCCAAGUUUUGUUCUUGUAAAGAAA
Molecule: unclassified non-coding RNA, 325 nt
Filed under: Hevea brasiliensis (rubber tree)
Lineage: Eukaryota; Viridiplantae; Streptophyta; Magnoliopsida; Malpighiales; Euphorbiaceae
Source: RNAcentral